This 425-nucleotide ribosomal RNA is filed under the name uncultured bacterium. RNAcentral's name for it is "partial 16S ribosomal RNA". It matches the Rfam family "Bacterial small subunit ribosomal RNA", at positions 354 to 796 of the family's 1533-position model. The record is from RNAcentral.
GUGAGGAAUAUUGCGCAAUGGGCGAAAGCCUGACGCAGCCAUGCCGCGUGAAUGAUGAAGGUCUUAGGAUUGUAAAAUUCUUUCACCGGGGACGAUAAUGACGGUACCCGGAGAAGAAGCUCCGGCUAACUUCGUGCCAGCAGCCGCGGUAAUACGAAGGGGGCUAGCGUUGCUCGGAAUUACUGGGCGUAAAGGGCGCGUAGGCGGACAGCUUAGUCAGAGGUGAAAGCCCAGGGCUCAACCUUGGAAUUGCCUUUGAUACUGGCUGUCUUGAGUUUGGGAGAGGUGAGUGGAACUCCGAGUGUAGAGGUGAAAUUCGUAGAUAUUCGGAAGAACACCAGUGGCGAAGGCGACUCACUGGCCCAAUACUGACGCUGAGGCGCGAAAGCGUGGGGAGCAAACAGGAUUAGAUACCCUAGUAGUCC